Molecule: ribosomal RNA, 500 nt
Filed under: Bacillaceae bacterium CL5.17
Lineage: Bacteria; Bacillati; Bacillota; Bacilli; Caryophanales; Bacillaceae
Description: bacterial SSU rRNA
Rfam family: Bacterial small subunit ribosomal RNA
Source: RNAcentral
CCCUGGCUCAGGAUGAACGCUGGCGGCGUGCCUAAUACAUGCAAGUCGAGCGAAUGGAUUAAGAGCUUGCUCUUAUGAAGUUAGCGGCGGACGGGUGAGUAACACGUGGGUAACCUACCCAUAAGACUGGGAUAACUCCGGGAAACCGGGGCUAAUACCGGAUAAUAUUUUGAACUGCAUAGUUCGAAAUUGAAAGGCGGCUUCGGCUGUCACUUAUGGAUGGACCCGCGUCGCAUUAGCUAGUUGGUGAGGUAACGGCUCACCAAGGCAACGAUGCGUAGCCGACCUGAGAGGGUGAUCGGCCACACUGGGACUGAGACACGGCCCAGACUCCUACGGGAGGCAGCAGUAGGGAAUCUUCCGCAAUGGACGAAAGUCUGACGGAGCAACGCCGCGUGAGUGAUGAAGGCUUUCGGGUCGUAAAACUCUGUUGUUAGGGAAGAACAAGUGCUAGUUGAAUAAGCUGGCACCUUGACGGUACCUAACCAGAAAGCCACGGC